ACGCUGGCGGCACGCCUAACACAUGCAAGUCGAACGAAGUAGCAAUACUUAGUGGCAGACGGGUGAGUAACAUGUAGGUAUCUGCCCUUUGGCCUGGAAUAACACGAGGAAACUUGUGCUAAUACCGGAUAAGUCUUUACAGAGAAAGCUUUAUGCACCAUUGGAUGAGCCUGCACUUGAUUAGUUUGUUGGUGGGGUAAUGGCCUACCAAGACUGUGAUCAAUAGCUGAUUUGAGAGGAUGAUCAGCCACAUUGGGACUGAGACACGGCCCAAACUCCUACGGGAGGCAGCAGUGGGGAAUCUUGCACAAUGGAGGAAACUCUGAUGCAGCGAUGCCGCGUGAGUGAAGAAGGCCUUUGGGUUGUAAAGCUCUUUCGUCGGGGAAGAAAAUGACUGUACCCGAAUAAGAAGGUCCGGCUAACUUCGUGCCAGCAGCCGCGGUAAUACGAAGGGACCUAGCGUAGUUCGGAAUUACUGGGCUUAAAGAGUUCGUAGGUGGUUGAAAAAGUUAGUGGUGAAAUCCCAGAGCUUAACUCUGGAACUGCCAUUAAAACUUUUCAGCUAGAGUAUGAUAGAGGAAAGCAGAAUUUCUAGUGUAGAGGUGAAAUUCGUAGAUAUUAGAAAGAAUACCAAUUGCGAAGGCAGCUUUCUGGAUCAUUACUGACACUGAGGAACGAAAGCAUGGGUAGCGAAGAGGAUUAGAUACCCUCGUAGUCCAUGCCGUAAACGAUGUGUGUUAGACGUUGGAAAUUUAUUUUCAGUGUCGCAGGGAAACCGAUAAACACACCGCCUGGGGAGUACGACCGCAAGGUUAAAACUCAAAUGAAUUGACGGGGACCCGCACAAGUAGUGGAGCAUGUGGUUUAAUUCGAAGAUACGCGCAGAACCUUACCAACACUUGACAUGUUCGUCGCGACUCUAAGAGAUUAGAGUUUUCGGUUCGGCCGGACGAAACACAGGUGCUGCAUGGCUGUCGUCAGCUCGUGUCGUGAGAUGUUGGGUUAAGUCCCGCAACGAGCGCAACCCUCACUUUUAGUUGCCAUCAUUAAGUUGGGCACUCUGAAAGAACUGCCAGUGAUAAGCUGGAGGAAGGUGGGGAUGACGUCAAGUCCUCAUGGCCCUUACGUGUUGGGCUACACACGUGCUACAAUGGUAUCUACAACAGGAAGCAAGACUACGAAGUUAAGCAAAUCCCUAAAAGAUACCUCAGUUCGGAUUGCACUCUGCAACUCGAGUGCAUGAAGCUGGAAUUACUAGUAAUCGUGGAUCAGCGUGCCACGGUGAAUGCGUUCCCGGGUCUUGUACUCACCGCCCGUCA
RNAcentral lists this ribosomal RNA (1319 nucleotides) under uncultured Alphaproteobacteria bacterium. Its description in RNAcentral is "uncultured alpha proteobacterium 16S ribosomal RNA". It matches the Rfam family "Bacterial small subunit ribosomal RNA", at positions 33 to 1399 of the family's 1533-position model. Lineage: Bacteria; Pseudomonadati; Pseudomonadota; Alphaproteobacteria. The record is from RNAcentral.